This is a long non-coding RNA of Coregonus clupeaformis (lake whitefish), 163 nucleotides long. RefSeq lists it as uncharacterized. The transcript is spliced from 3 exons. The record is from RefSeq and is a predicted model, not a curated record. Lineage: Eukaryota; Metazoa; Chordata; Actinopteri; Salmoniformes; Salmonidae.
GUCACAGUGGGCUGUUCCUUAGUCUCUCCCCCGCCAACCCCUUCACCCCUACUCCCUUUAAGCCAACAGCCAAUAGGACGGCCAGGAGAAGACCCACAACUGUCUCUGCACCAAUCACACUGCAAGACACGGAAGACGAAUGCUGGAAGAAGAUGAUGUCCAG